UCCACUCUAUCUCUCUCAAUCUAGUAGAAACUAGAAGAUCUAUUUCUACCUUACAUUGGUUGCUAAGCCUAAAAAGAAAUAUUAUUUAGAGAAGAGGUUUUCCUUCGAGGGCACCCCUCAAUCUCUAUGAUAAUUUCUUGUCUCCUCCAGGGGCCAGAGGGGGUCUCCUUAUAUAGUCCUCCCCUUCUAUGUGUUUUUGGGUCGAU
RNAcentral lists this long non-coding RNA (206 nucleotides) under Sorghum bicolor (sorghum). Its description in RNAcentral is "long non-coding RNA (SBIC_LNC003121)". The record is from RNAcentral. Lineage: Eukaryota; Viridiplantae; Streptophyta; Magnoliopsida; Poales; Poaceae.